Molecule: long non-coding RNA, 509 nt
Organism: Oncorhynchus keta (chum salmon)
Lineage: Eukaryota; Metazoa; Chordata; Actinopteri; Salmoniformes; Salmonidae
Exons: 4
Source: RefSeq, a predicted model, not a curated record
AGAGGGGAGGGAUAUGAAGCUAGGUGGGAGCUGAUUGAUGCAUAAGGAGGAGGGAUAUGAAGCUAGGUGGGAGCUGAUUGAUGCAUAAGGAGGAGGGAUAUGAAGCUAGGUGGGAGCUGAUUGAUGCAUAAGGAGGAGGGAUAUGAAGCUAGGUGGGAGCUGAUUGAUGCAUAAGGAGGAGGGAUAUGAAGCUAGGUGGGAGCUGAUUGAUGCAUAAGGAGGAGGGAUAUGAAGCUAGGUGGGAGCUGAUUGAUGCAUAAGGAGGAGGGAUAUGAAGCUAGGUGGGAGCUGAUUGAUGCAUAAGGAGGAGGGAUAUGAAGCUAGGUGGGAGCUGAUUGAUGCAUAAGGAGGAGGGAUAUGAAGCUAGGUGGGAGCUGAUUGAUGCAUAAGGAGGAGGGAUAUGAAGCUAGGUGGGAGCUGAUUGAUGCAUAAGGAGGAGGGAUAUGAAGCUAGGUGGGAGCUGAUUGAUGCAUAAGGGGGAGGGAUAUGAAGCUAGGUGGGAGCUGAUU